This 209-nucleotide ribosomal RNA is filed under the name uncultured bacterium. RNAcentral describes it as "partial 16S ribosomal RNA". It matches the Rfam family "Bacterial small subunit ribosomal RNA", at positions 568 to 774 of the family's 1533-position model. The record is from RNAcentral.
CAGGUAGGUGGUCUGAUUUGUCUGGCGGUGAAAUCCUUGAGCUUAACUCAAGAAGUGCCCCGGAAACGGUCAGACUUACGAGUCUUGGAGAGGGUUGCGGAAUUCCCGGUGUAGCGGUGAAAUGCGUAGAGAUCGGGAGGAACACCAGAGGCGAAGGCGGCAACCUGGACAAGCACUGACACUCAACUGCGAAAGCGUGGGAGCAAACA